This 174-nucleotide ribosomal RNA is filed under the name uncultured bacterium. RNAcentral describes it as "partial 16S ribosomal RNA". It matches the Rfam family "Bacterial small subunit ribosomal RNA", at positions 338 to 524 of the family's 1533-position model. The record is from RNAcentral.
CCUACGGGAGGCAGCAGUUAGGAAUAUUGGGCAAUGGAGGAAACUCUGACCCAGCAACGCCGCGUGAAGGAAGAAGGUUUUCUGGAUUGUAAACUUCUGAUCAUGUGGGAAGAAGAAAGUGACGGUACCACAGGAGAAAGCCACGGCUAACUACGUGCCAGCAGCCGCGGUAAU